GAUCCAGACUUUGAUUCUGGCUCAGGAUGAACGCUAGCUACAGGCUUAACACAUGCAAGUCGAGGGGCAGCGGGAUUGAAGCUUGCUCCAAUUGCCGGCGACCGGCGCACGGGUGAGUAACGCGUAUCCAACCUUCCGUACACUCAGGGAUAGCCUUUCGAAAGAAAGAUUAAUACCUGAUGGUAUGAUGAGAUUGCAUGAUAGCAUCAUUAAAGAUUUAUCGGUGUACGAUGGGGAUGCGUUCCAUUAGGUAGUAGGCGGGGUAACGGCCCACCUAGCCAACGAUGGAUAGGGGUUCUGAGAGGAAGGUCCCCCACAUUGGAACUGAGACACGGUCCAAACUCCUACGGGAGGCAGCAGUGAGGAAUAUUGGUCAAUGGACGAGAGUCUGAACCAGCCAAGUAGCGUGAAGGAUGAAGGUCCUACGGAUUGUAAACUUCUUUUAUAAGGGAAUAAACCCUCCCACGUGUGGGAGCUUGUAUGUACCUUAUGAAUAAGCAUCGGCUAACUCCGUGCCAGCAGCCGCGGUAAUACGGAGGAUGCGAGCGUUAUCCGGAUUUAUUGGGUUUAAAGGGAGCGCAGACGGGUCGUUAAGUCAGCUGUGAAAGUUUG
Molecule: ribosomal RNA, 612 nt
Filed under: uncultured Bacteroidota bacterium
Lineage: Bacteria; Pseudomonadati; Bacteroidota
Description: bacterial SSU rRNA
Rfam family: Bacterial small subunit ribosomal RNA
Source: RNAcentral